GCUGAAGGUGCCGCUCCCAUUAUUGAGCCAUACUUUGUCUCCGUAUUCGUACUCGGUAAUGAGGACGUCCAGGUCUCCGUCAGCGUCCAGAUCGCCCAGUUCCACGGUCU
This 110-nucleotide ribosomal RNA is filed under the name uncultured eukaryote. RNAcentral's name for it is "partial small subunit ribosomal RNA". The record is from RNAcentral.